GAUUCGGUAGCUCAGUUGGUAAAGCACGCGUCUAGCAUACAAGAAUCGUGGGCUCGAAUCCCACCUGAGCA
This 71-nucleotide transfer RNA is filed under the name Aedes aegypti (yellow fever mosquito). It matches the Rfam family "tRNA". Rfam says of the family: Transfer RNA (tRNA) molecules are approximately 80 nucleotides in length. Their secondary structure includes four short double-helical elements and three loops (D, anti-codon, and T loops). The record is from Rfam by way of RNAcentral. Lineage: Eukaryota; Metazoa; Arthropoda; Insecta; Diptera; Culicidae.